ACUCCUACGGGAGGCAGCAGUGGGAAUAUUGCACAAUGGCGCAAGCCUGAUGCAGCCAUGCCGCGUGUGUGAAGAAGGCCUUCGGGUUGUAAAGCACUUUCAGUCGUGAGGAAGGUAGUGUAGUUAAUAGCUGCAUUAUUUGACGUUAGCGACAGAAGAAGCACCGGCUAACUCCGUGCCAGCAGCCGCGGUAAUACGGAGGAUCCAAGCGUUAUCCGGAAUCAUUGGGUUUAAAGGGUCCGUAGGUGGAUGAUUAAGUCAGAGGUGAAAUCCUGCAGCUCAACUGUAGAAUUGCCUUUGAUACUGGUUGUCUUGAAUUAUUGUGAAGUAGUUAGAAUAUGUGGUGUAGCGGUGAAAUGCAUAGAUAUCACAUAGAAUACCGAUUGCGAAGGCAGAUUACUAACAAUACAUUGACACUGAUGGACGAAAGCGUGGGGAGCGAACAGGAUUAGAUACCCU
This 459-nucleotide ribosomal RNA is filed under the name uncultured bacterium. RNAcentral describes it as "bacterial SSU rRNA". It matches the Rfam family "Bacterial small subunit ribosomal RNA", at positions 335 to 788 of the family's 1533-position model. The record is from RNAcentral.